GAAGUGCCUAUGAUGGCUUUAAAUAUACUUUUGAGUUAUAACUACGAAAAAAAAUAUAUGAUCAGAGGCACGUC
Molecule: small nucleolar RNA, 74 nt
Organism: Magnolia sinica
Lineage: Eukaryota; Viridiplantae; Streptophyta; Magnoliopsida; Magnoliales; Magnoliaceae
Source: RefSeq, a predicted model, not a curated record